AAUAGAUACCCAGGUAGUCCACGCCGUAAACGAUGAGUGCUAAGUGUUAGGGGGUUUCCGCCCCUUAGUGCUGCAGCUAACGCAUUAAGCACUCCGCCUGGGGAGUACGGUCGCAAGACUGAAACUCAAAGGAAUUGACGGGGGCCCGCACAAGCGGUGGAGCAUGUGGUUUAAUUCGAAGCAACGCGAAGAACCUUACCAGGUCUUGACAUCCCAUUGACCACUAUGGAGACAUAGUUUUCCCUUCGGGGACAACGGUGACAGGUGGUGCAUGGUUGUCGUCAGCUCGUGUCGUGAGAUGUUGGGUUAAGUCCCGCAACGAGCGCAACCCUUGUUCUUAGUUGCCAUCAUUUAGUUGGGCACUCUAAGGAGACUGCCGGUGACAAACCGGAGGAAGGUGGGGAUGACGUCAAAUCAUCAUGCCCCUUAUGACCUGGGCUAUACACGUGCUACAAUGGACGGUACAAACGGUUGCCAACCGCGAGGGGAGCUAAUCCGAUAAAACCGUUCUCAGUUCGGAUUGUAGCUGCAACUCGCUACA
Molecule: ribosomal RNA, 541 nt
Filed under: uncultured bacterium
Lineage: Bacteria
Description: bacterial SSU rRNA
Rfam family: Bacterial small subunit ribosomal RNA
Source: RNAcentral